AGAGUUUGAUCAUGGCUCAGGAUGAACGCUAGCUACAGGCUUAACACAUGCAAGUCGAGGGGCAGCAUGUUGGUUGCUUGCAACCAAUGAUGGCGACCGGCGCACGGGUGAGUAACGCGUAUCCAACCUACCCUUGUCCAUCGGAUAACCCGUCGGAAGGCGGCCUAACACGAUAUGCGGUUCUCAGCAGGCAUCUAACGAGAACGAAAUGUGAAGGAGAAGGAUGGGGAUGCGUCUGAUUAGCUUGUUGGCGGGGUAACGGCCACCAAGGCGACGAUCAGUAGGGGUUCUGAGAGGAAGUCCCCCANAUUGGAACUGAGACACGGUCCAAACUCCUACGGGAGCA
Molecule: ribosomal RNA, 346 nt
Filed under: uncultured bacterium
Lineage: Bacteria
Description: bacterial SSU rRNA
Rfam family: Bacterial small subunit ribosomal RNA
Source: RNAcentral